RNAcentral lists this unclassified non-coding RNA (303 nucleotides) under uncultured Sordariaceae. Its description in RNAcentral is "sequence contains ITS1". The stretch from base 1 to 105 matches the Rfam family "5.8S ribosomal RNA", at positions 50 to 154 of the family's 154-position model. The record is from RNAcentral. Lineage: Eukaryota; Fungi; Ascomycota; Sordariomycetes; Sordariales.
GAAAUGCGAUAAGUAAUGUGAAUUGCAGAAUUCAGUGAAUCAUCGAAUCUUUGAACGCACAUUGCGCCCGCUAGUAUUCUGGUGGGCAUGCCUGUUCGAGAGUCAUUUCAAUCCUCAAGCCCUGGCUUGGUGUUGGGGUUCUACGGCUCCUGUAGGCUCCAAAGACUAGUGGCGGGCUCGCUAUAACUCCGAGCGCAGUACAUGUAUCUCGCUAGGGAAGUGUGGUGGGUUCCAGCCGCAAAACGCCCCAACUCACAUGACAAGGUUGACCUCGUAUCAGGUAGGAAUACCCGCUGAACUUAA